GGCCAACAAGGCAGAGUUCAUCUCAGCCUAUGCUACCCUCCAGUCCCUCGACUUGGCGCUGACGGAAACAUGGAUUACCACAGCUGAGGCGCAACACGCCGCACAAGGAGCAGAAGCCAGCACCUGGAGGCAGUACUACACCUGUAGAAGGAUAAACCAGGGAUGGCACGGGCAAGGGUUAGGUUUUGAAUAUAAUUGUGUUUCAUAUCAACUAGCUUGUUUUACGGUGCACAGGCCUAUCUCCUGUUCAUCCCUCUCCUUCUGAUGAUGUUAUUAUAUUUAGGUGUAGUACUUAAAAUUGCCUGUAGAUGUCCUCCUAAGAUCAUAAAUAGACUAAAAUGAGUUCUAAAAUGCCUUUUUCUGUGUGACAGUACAGGAGCUGAUGUGGUGAGAUUAAUUCAACCAGUGUUGUUAAAUAUGAACAUAAAAGCAAUAUUGUGCAUUUAGUUGGUUUUAUUGUUUUAUUCUGUUAAAAGAAUGAGAUUAAGAGAGGUGGAUGGUUUGAUGUGGUCUGUGAGGGUUGGAUGAAUGGGAGAGAGGACUGCCAAUGUGUUGUUUUUAAUGGUUCUUAAAAAUCGUUUUGAAUAUCCUCUUCUUCUGAUUGCAUUGAAUAGUGUAUUUAUUGCAUAAUCCAGGUCUUGCUUGCAAGAUGAUAUCCUGUAGAACCGUAUGAUUUGUGAUUUUAUUAUUCCCUUAAAUGUAUGUUUAGGAUGGUAACUGUGUUUAUGGAGUAAAGCAUGUGUGUCUGUUGGUUUGAAGUAGACUCUAGUGUGUAGUGUUUUCUGUGGUUGAUUGUUAUUACUGAAAAACACUGUUGUGUCUAAGAAGUUGACUUCUUGCGGAUGAAUUGUGUAUUUAACCUUAAUUGAUGAAUGAUGGCUGUUGAGAAUGUUCAUAAAGUCUGUGAAUAAUUGGAUGUCGUGGGGCCAGGCUCCUAUUAUGUCGUCUAAAAACCGGUAAUAAAAAGUGGGUUGAUAUGGACACUUGGCCAGUGCCUCUCUCUCCCAUUCAGCCAUGUAUAUGUUGGCGUAAGCAGGUGCGAAUUUUUUGCCCAUAGCUGUUCCCUCCACCUGCAGGUAAUAGUGAUCGUUGAAUAAAAAGUCAUUGCUAGUCAGGCUGAUUUCUAAUAGUUGUAAUAUUUCUGUGUCCGGUCUAGUGUUGUCUGGGUAUCUCUUAAAGAUAUUUCUAAUUGCUUGUAUUCCUGUUGCUGUAUUUAUAUUAGUAUACAGGCUAUCAAUAUCUAUGGUGAAUAUGUGUGUGUUGGAGGGAACAACUAUGGGUCCAAUCCUCUCCAUGAAGUGAUAAGUGUCCCUGAGAAAGCUGGGGUGCCUGGUGGAGAGAGGGUUAAUAUAAUGAUCUAUGUAUUGUGAAAUGUUAUAGGAUUCACUAUUGCAGUCUGACACAAUCGGUCUGCCAGGAGGAACUUCAAAGGGAAUUGUCCAUGUCCCUGGUUCCUUGUGUACUUUUAACAGUAAGUAGAAUAGUCUAGGUCGUGGAGUAUCUGUGCCAUAGAGAAAGUCCCGUUGUUUUGCUGUGAUGUAGUGUUGGUCGUAGAGUCUUUUUAUUAUUGUCCUUAACUGUGUCUGUGUCUGUGGUUGUAUACUAUUUUCUAUUGGUUUAUAAUGUUUGGUGUUGGAUAGCUGUCUGUUGGCUUCAUACAUGUAUUGAUGUUUAUCCAAUAUUACUAUUUUUGAACCUUUAUCUGCUGGUUUGAUGAUUAUGUGUGGGUUAUUUUUAAGUUGUUGUAUUGCCUGUCUUUCUACGUGUGUGAGGUUAUCCUCCCUAUCCGUGUGAAUCUGGUGGUUGUGAAGUGUGUUCUUGUCUGUUCUGAUUAAUCUCCUGAUUCUACCAUCUAUCUGGGAGGUUUUAGGUUCCCAGGUAGAUGGUAAGGUAAAUGGUUGGUGGUUGUCGUCUGUGUUAUAGUCAAAGUAGUCCAACAGUUUAAGUCUUCUAUGAUAUUUGUGAGUGUCCCUUUGAAGUUCCUCCCAAUCAAAUUUGUUUGGGCGAGGGAUGAAUGUCAACCCUCUCUCCAGGAGCUUUACCUGUGCUGCUGUGGGUAUGAAGGAUUUGGAAAGAUUCAUGAUAUUAGAUGUUGACUGGUCCACUGCUCCCCCUGGUGGAGGAUCUGCACCGGUUAUUAGGGAAGGAGAGAGAUUGAAAGAAAGAUUAUUUCUAUCCAGACUGUGGCUUGUGGUUAAUGUAAAUUUAACUGUCUGCACCAGUGUUGAAAGAUGAGGUCUGCUGUGGUGGAUGUCCAGUGUAUGAGAUCUGUUGUUGUAUGAAAUGUAUCUUGUGGAAUCUCUAAUAGGGUUGGGAAGUUAGUGGUAAUAUAAGCAUUGAUGAGCUUAAGGUUUCUCUUCUGCUGUGAAGUAAGAAGAGGUGAAUGGCUGAUGACAGGAAUGUAUAUUGUUGCGUUUGGAAAUGUUUUCUUUGCCUCCUUGUGCAUACCUGACAACUGUUUUAAUGAUGUUUGGAAUGGGUCGUGAUCCUUGUUGUUCAAACCCACCGAGAUAACAACAGUCGCCGUGUCUGUAUGUAUGGGGGUUUUCUCCAGUACCUUUGUGAAAUGAUAGAAUGUUGCCCCUGGAUAACUGUCGACUUGGAUGUUGGGGUUAUUGAAUGGUGGGAUCCGGUUGAGGUUUGAGUCUCCUAUGAUGAGUAUUGGUGUGUGUCCUUCAAUGUUCCAAUCUGUCACCUUAUAAUUCGGCCUAGCUUUGUGAUAGAAGGGUUUUUGGGGAGGGUGUGUGGGUUUGGGCUGUGGUUGGGAUUGAAGAUGGGGUUGUGGUGGGGAUGAUGGUGGGUAUUUUGAGGCGCCAGUCGUACAGGGGUCCUGGACAGGCAGAGGCACAACGAUAUUAGUUGUUUGUGGGGGUUCGGAUCUGGGAGCUUUGGGGUGUUGCCCAUUGUCUUGCCCUUUGAUCAUCAUCAUACUCCCCUUGAAUUGCCCUCUCCUUGUCUGUACCCCUUGCCUGGCGCCUCCUAUGGGUGAAAGAGGAGCAGAUGUAAUUAUGUCUCUUAAUAGUAUUGAUACAUUACCCUGUACUUUUUUGCAGUUUGUGUUUUGUUUAAUAGGUGUGACUGUAGGUGUACUGGUUUCUGUUUGACUGUUGGCUGUGUGGUGAACCUGGGCUAUGAUAGGAGUGGCUGCUUUGGUUUCUGUUUGACUGUUGACUGUGUGGUGAACCUGGGCUAUGAUAGGAGUGGCUGCUUUGGGAGUAGGGGGACCCACUGGGCUUUUCCAUUUCUCCUCUUCAGUUAUAGGGGUUGCUAUUCUUACCUCUCCUUUUUGAUUGGAAAGGGAAGAAUCAGUGAAAGUGGAUGUUGAGGGUAGGGAGUGGAGAUGUGUUUUUGAAAGAGUCUGUAUGCGAAGGUUAUAGGUUUCACUCAGGGUCGGUUGUUUUCCCAGUGAUAGUGUCCGUAAGUAUGAUGGUUGUCUUUUUGGCAGGGGGCGAGGCUUUGAUAAAGGUGGAAAUUCCUCUGUUGAGGAGAGAGGGGGCACUGGGGUUGGAGUUGGUAUCGUUGGUGGGGAAAUUUGUAGUGGGGUGUGUUCUAUUGCUGGAAGUGUAUGUGGUUGGUCUCGUAUUGUGUUUGUCCGUAUAGUUGUUAGUUGGGGAGAGGAAGAGGCCUGAGGGAGUUCCAAAAUGGUUUCCACUCUAGUGAUGGUGGUGGGUGUCAGUUUAUGUUUGUACCUCUUAUGUGCCCAGCCUAUUGCGAUUGUCAGUGCCAAAGUGUUGGGUGUGUUUAUUUGUUGUUUAAUGGUGUGGGUGACUGACUGGUAAUGUGUCUGUAGUAUGUACAUGUUGUUUUGCAUCCACUGGUGUGUGUUCUGUGAUAAUUUUAUUGUGGUGUAGUCUGUGGGUGAAGAUGGUUUAAUAAAGUUGGUGACACGA
This is a non-coding RNA of Salmo salar (Atlantic salmon), 3890 nucleotides long. Lineage: Eukaryota; Metazoa; Chordata; Actinopteri; Salmoniformes; Salmonidae. The record is from RefSeq and is a predicted model, not a curated record.